AGGAAUCAGUUUAACUGGCAUGAUAAGGCAAUGUUAUUUAAGCAGCACCACUGGAAGAAAGCACUGGAGAAAAGGGAGCCCUAUAAAUUCUAGUGGAACCAGUCAUGGACAAGGACCUGCGCGAUAUUUCAAUUGGCCCGUCUACUUUCCUUAGAUAUUCUCAUCUCCCAUUUCUUGUCUCUUUGUUAUGUUGGUAUAGAUUGUUAAUGGACAAACUGAUCAUCACAUGGAUGGAUGCUAUGGUUUUUCCUAUUCUUGUUAAUAGGUUUUAAUAACAAUGAGACUGCUGGAUCCU
Telopea speciosissima is the source of this 295-nucleotide long non-coding RNA. RefSeq lists it as uncharacterized. The record is from RefSeq and is a predicted model, not a curated record. Lineage: Eukaryota; Viridiplantae; Streptophyta; Magnoliopsida; Proteales; Proteaceae. The transcript is spliced from 4 exons.